Long non-coding RNA from Tetranychus urticae (two-spotted spider mite), 4494 nucleotides. RefSeq lists it as uncharacterized. NCBI's taxonomy places the organism in Eukaryota, Metazoa, Arthropoda, Arachnida, Trombidiformes, Tetranychidae. The record is from RefSeq and is a predicted model, not a curated record.
UCUCUUAGAUACACAGAGUGAUUAAAGAGUGAUCACACCCAUCAGCCAAAUCGAAAUAUCAUGAUGAUUGAUCAAUGCUACUGAUAAUUUUUCCCUUUUUUCAUGUUAUCCCCAUUUGAAUCUUAAAUUAACAAUUAUCAUUAAUAUUAUCUACAUCAUAAUAAAAAUCAUCACCAUCAUCAUCAUUAUAAUCAUCAAGUUAACCAGUUUGUGAGUUGGAACGCAGAAAGAGGCUAGAAGAUUGAAUUUUGUGAUAGUGAUUACAUGUGAAUCUAAACAGAUCUUCAAUAUUCACUACAAGAGUCUUUUACUGUUGAUUAUUAUUUUGCCAAAUCAAACAAUCACAAUGACAUUCAAUUUUAUCUCCAUUUUAUCAUUACUCUGGAAUUCUUCGAGUUGAAUUUUCAAUUAUUGGUUACUGAUAUUUUUAUCAUUCUUAAUCCAGGAUUAAUAAUCCAGAUGCAUAAAUGGAUUUUAACCAAACCUUGAAUCAAUCUCGACAUGAACAAGUGCAUUCGGGAAAAAUUUCACGGUAAAAGUCAUCUAAUCUGGUACUUUAGAGAGCAGCCUUACAAUUUAUCUUCGUAGACACUAACUACACCUUUUUACACCCACCAAGCCCAACAUGACCAUCACCAUGGAUUGGGAACAUUAAAGUUUUAAAUAGUUAAUCUUUUGAGAUUUACUCAGAUUAAAACACUUUAUCUGGACAUUCAACAUUUAUUUUUUCAUGGAAAAGUGACAAAUUUCAACUUUCACUACACACAUUCGUACUUUUUUAAAGCAACAUCCAAACCUGAUUAAAGUUAAACAUCAUAAUUAAGAGAAGUGAAAUCAUCAGCUCGGUACAAUGGAUUUGUUUUGACUUGGACGACCCAUUUUCAUGGCAGUAAUUUAUUUCAACCUUCAGUGUAUUAAAAAUGUUAUCUAAUUGAGUUGACUCAAUAUAUCAUUGUAAAUCUUUAUCAAGAUUUUACGUGCACAGGCUUAAGAAAGUAAGAAUCAGAUAAAACGAGUCUAAAUGUAUUACAAUUAAUAAAUAAUGGUUUUGUCGUUAGGAGAAAGUUAAUUUAUCGCUGUAUUGAAUGGGUUAACUGAAAUCAAAUCAUAUUUUCGUUUUCACACGCAUUCAAUGCAACAAAGUUGAAGCUAAAAUACAUAUUUACUCCAAGAACUGCCUCAAGGAGUAUCAGUAUUUGAAACUGAUUUGUUGAUUAAUUAGAAUGGAAACUCACUUUGAUAACAAUUUGAAAGGUCACAAAAUGAUGAGAUGUAUAAUUUCAACUAGUUUAUGCGAUAUAUUGGCAAUAUCUUAUCAUUGGAUCGAUCAAAUGAAAAUGGUGAUUUGCAAGUAAUUGAUUAUUAUUCAUUGAUAAGCUGUGAUUGGUCUACGCUUAAGGUCAAUUUAAUGAAUUUUCAAUGGAGAUUGCCGUAAAAAUGGUACAAAUUGGUCUAUUAAUGUUCAUCACUUGCAGUGAAGUUUGAAUUAUUGCUGGUCAAGACAGAUAUUAUUAAUACACUUGGCAAACUUUAUCAAGACGAGAAAAAUGGUCAAAAGUGAUAAUACAAGGAUAUGGAUAUUAUUGUGAUUGCAAUCAACAUAUUUUUAUUGGUCUAAUUGAGCACUUGGUUGUUCUUUGCCAAUCAUAACCUGGAAUCCAAGCAAAAAGAACCGUAACUUUAAUUUCAUUUUUUCAUCGUACAAAAUGUUUCCUCAGAGAGUCACACACAAGAUUUCAAAUGAGAAAUUGAAUAAUCUCCUUUUAUUAUUCAAUUGCUAGAAAAUCUAACAUUUUCAGCUGUAACAUCAUUAUUAUCAAUGUUAGUGAGCGAAUGAGUUUCUCUUUUUCAACCAUUUAUUGACUUUCAAACUGUAGAUUAUUACAAAACCAUGUUCAAUUGAUAAAAAUCAAACAUUAACAUGAAGACAAUCAUCAACAAGCAAAAAGUAGAAUAUAAAAAGCUAACAUUGACAUUAUACCGAGAAUAUAAUAAGUAUAUGAAAACCAAGUCAUAUAAGCAGAUCAAUUUGGACCCAAAUUUAAAUCCUAUCACAGGGACAUCAACAGCUGAUAAAAUCUCCUGCAACUCUAUUGUUAAACUUUUUUGGCAAUAGCUUUUCAAGUUAUCUAUCUUUUACCUCUCACUCUUUCUCAUAGUAAGAGAGUGCUUAUCAUCUCUCUUCUUUCCUGUCUUUCAUUUUAUCUAUUCUGACUUUUACUUUCUUUUUUUGUAUUGUAAUAUAGUGACAAACGGCUUGGUUAAUAUGAUGAUAUCUAUCGAUGAUGAUGAUGCUGUUCUUAACCUGACAGAAACUCGCAAUGAAGAUAGUAAAAAAAGAUCAACAAAAGAUGCCUUUAUUUUGGCUUUUGCCACACACACAAACACAUCAACAGUAACAUCAACAAUGGACUUAAUCACUGUGAUCAAAACGAUUGGUCCGGAAAUAGUGUUGUCACAUGAUAGGGGCAACUUUGAUCAAGUUAAAUGAUUAGCGAGGACUGAUCAAUGGAUAUUAAUCAAAAUGAUAUUGGAUUUGCAAAGAUGAUCGACAAAGCAAAGUGGUCAAGUUGGUGAACACAAAAAUGGAUAUCAAAUUGGAAACCAAAUCAACAUUGAAUGGACAUUAAACGAACUUUAAACCAACAUCAAAUCGAAACAUUAAACCAAAUUUAAUCAUCAUUAUCACACUAACGAUGAUAUUAAAAGUUUAACCCACGACUAUUUAAGGAUUACCAUCAUUUAAUCAAGCAAAUGGAUACAAGAGGAUCUUCAUUUGAUGGUGCAGCAAAAAAAAGAUUCACUGGUUUAUAAAGAGGUUAAGGAAAUGGAAAGGAAAAUGAGCAAUAUAAAAAUCAUGAUAAUAAUUAUUAGCAUGGUGAUGACAAACUUCAGAUGUAGAUGAAGGUGUAGAUGAUGAUGCAGCCAUGAAGCACCGAAAGAAGGAGAAAGAGGAACAAAAUUGAUCAUAACGAUGUUAAUGUUACGAUAAUAAUGAUAAUGAUGGUGGAGGUGAUGAUGGUUUGAGGUAUCUAAAGAGGCCCAGAAAUGUUAAUAUGUUGUUUUAUAACUUAAUGCAAAGAGGUACAAUUAAUCAACAAUCAACUGUUCAUGGUGUGAACAUGCUUUUUCAACGGUGCAUUUUUCGAGAUGUUUGACUGAAUAAUGUCCAGUUAACUUGAAUCUUCCAGUCUAAUCAUCAUCAAGUGAAGAGUUAAAAUCACAGAUAAACUCUCAACCAUUCAGUUUCCUUGCGAUGAUUAUUUAGAGACGACGACAACGAUCAUUAUUAUGGUUAAAGUGAAAGAAUGGGAGAGAAAAAAAUCAUCAAAAGAUGAUGAAACUGAUAUGGUUAAGCUUAAUGAAGGGUUUCCCUUUCCUCUUCUAACCAGAAGGAAAAAUGAGUUGAAGAAUAAGAAGAAAUGGUAAAAGCAUUAUCAAUUUCAUUCCAAAGGGAAACUGAAGUAUAUAUAACCUGACAAACCAUGAAAUCGAUUCACCCGAAGAACACAGUUUAAUCAAAGAUAAAUAUCCACAAAACUUUGAAUCAUUGACAACGGAAGGAGACGAAAGAUGAUGACAAGAGAGUCACCGAGGAAAAAGACGAAAGCUAAAGAUAUCAAGCGAAAAUGACACAAAAAGCUAAACAUUUAGUUAUCAUAUUUAAUAACAGUUUUGUUUGAGGGGAAAGAGACACGGAGUGAGAAGAGAAUCAAGUGAACAAGUUGAUGAUUAUGAUAAAUCAAUUUAGCCUGAAGUGAAAAAAAAGUAAGAAUUCAAGAAGUGAGAAUGGAAACAUUUUCAUGAUCAAAAUGAUGUUGAUGAUGAUGAUGAUGGAACGUAAAUUGUGUUAAAGAUAACAAUAUUCACUACUUUGUAGUGGUUUUACAGUACAACAUCUUUUUUAGGUGUCACCAUCAAAUGGUUAUGCAAACAAUGGUUGUGUGUUGGAAUUACAUUUAAUGAUGUAAAUGUAAAAAAGCGUUUUUUGUCGAAGGGAAACAACAAAGUUGAUUAUGUUUUUGUCAUUAUCAUUUGGACUAUUUCUAAUAACUGUUUGGGACCAAGGAGGUGAAAAUGAUAGAUUUUUGGCAAUUAUUGAAUCGAGGAAAGGCGCAACAUUUUGAUUCAUUCAUCAAAGAUCACCAGGAUAAGGAGAAGAAAAAGUUCAACUAAAUCUUCUAGAUUGUACAUCAUUUUUCGUCAACAAAUCAGUUUGAUCAAAGUUAAAGAUAUCAAUCUGACAGGUUAACAUUUAAUUCAGUUUAAAUGCAAGAAACAUUGGAAACAUGAUUAACCGGAUACAAUUAUAAUUUUACAUUUCAUUGGAUUCAAUUGGUUAUCCUUGCUGAUCAAUUUUACCUGUGCAAUCAUAUCAUGGAUUUAUAUUAAUUUAUGUGCAUUCAUCAGUUGAUUCAUUUGGAAGAAGGAAGUUUUCCAAUUGAAAAUGAUCAAUCAAUUUCAUCUGUAAUGAGCAUUUAAUUGAUAAUUGUG